UGAGACUCUACAGUAUGUUCCUGAAUUCUUUUUAACCUCUUAACUUGUCAAAAGAGCAUUUCAAACCCUAGAUCUCAGGGGUCCCUGCCAGGCAUUUUCAAGUUUGAUUUUUGUGGGGAGGACAUCAACAAGUUAAAACCUAAAUGAGCAACAAACGAGGUGACGUGCGUUAUCAGUUUUGUCUUCCAUGUCUUCCUCAUCCUGCUGUUUGCUCCACGGCUCUUGACAGGAUGGAGACGAGGAAAGAACUUCCACAUCCACAUUCAAAACGUCUGCCAGAACUCCCUCAGGCAAGAUUUUUAUGUGUAUGGUCAUUUCAAGUGAAUUUUGUAUACAGAGCAAGGCGAUUACUUUAAAACAUGAAAGAAAUUGCACCUUUUCCUUAAGGGCAAGAUGGUGCUGUGGGCUUUCCUCUCUCCUGAUGAGAUGAUGCAAAUGGACUCCAUAGAGAAACGCUGCCCGUGUAACAAUGCAGUUACGCAACCCGGUGCAUGACACAUGAAUUGCAGCGCACCUGAGAUCCUGAUGAAAUCCUGGGAGCCUGGAGCUGUCAAACAUGGUUUUAAAAAAUAAAGGGAAUACACCCAGCCCACACCCUGACUUUACAACCUUUAAUUAAUUAGAGGAAAGAAAGAGAGAUUUGUCUGGUUUCAUGACUUCAACUUUCCACCUGGAAUAUGAAGCUCCUGCUCUUCCCACCUCCUUUUCUUCUCUCUCUCUCUCUCAGGUUUUUAAAUUUCUAUUUCCAGUUCUGCCACCAAAAAUAGAUUGCAAAUAUAUUCUGCAUAAUUCCGAGGCUACACUAUAAAUGUUGGAGUGCUACUACUUGUAUAAUAGUCACAAAUGAACGCACGAGUGGGCAC
Molecule: long non-coding RNA, 863 nt
Filed under: Homo sapiens (human)
Lineage: Eukaryota; Metazoa; Chordata; Mammalia; Primates; Hominidae
Description: HSALNT0152001
Source: RNAcentral